Molecule: ribosomal RNA, 425 nt
Filed under: uncultured bacterium
Lineage: Bacteria
Description: partial 16S ribosomal RNA
Rfam family: Bacterial small subunit ribosomal RNA
Source: RNAcentral
GUGGGGAAUCUUGCGCAAUGGGCGAAAGCCUGACGCUGCCAUGCCGCGUGAAUGAUGAAGGUCUUAGGAUUGUAAAAUUCUUUCACCGGGGACGAUAAUGACGGUACCCGGAGAAGAAGCCCCGGCUAACUUCGUGCCAGCAGCCGCGGUAAUACGAAGGGGGCUAGCGUUGCUCGGAAUUACUGGGCGUAAAGGGCGCGUAGGCGGACAGUUUAGUCAGAGGUGAAAGCCCAGGGCUCAACCUUGGAAUUGCCUUUGAUACUGGCUGUCUUGAGUACGGGAGAGGUGAGUGGGACUCCGAGUGUAGAGGUGAAAUUCGUAGAUAUUCGGAAGAACACCAGUGGCGAAGGCGACUCACUGGCCCGUUACUGACGCUGAGGCGCGAAAGCGUGGGGAGCAAACAGGAUUAGAUACCCGAGUAGUCC